RNAcentral lists this ribosomal RNA (497 nucleotides) under uncultured bacterium. RNAcentral's name for it is "partial 16S ribosomal RNA". It matches the Rfam family "Bacterial small subunit ribosomal RNA", at positions 28 to 507 of the family's 1533-position model. The record is from RNAcentral.
GAUGAACGCUGGCGGCGUGCCUAAUACAUGCAAGUCGAGCGAACGGACGAGAAGCUUUCUUCUCUGAUGUUAGCGGCGGACGGGUGAGUAACACGUGGAUAACCUACCUAUAAGACUGGGAUAACUUCGGGAAACCGUAGCUAAUACCGGAUAAUAUUUUGAACCGCAUGGUUCAAAAGUGAAAGACGGUCUUGCUGUCACUUAUAGAUGGAUCCGCGCUGCAUUAGCUAGUUGGUAAGGUAACGGCUUACCAAGGCAACGAUGCAUAGCCGACCUGAGAGGGUGAUCGGCCACACUGGAACUGAGACACGGUCCAGACUCCUACGGGAGGCAGCAGUAGGGAAUCUUCCGCAAUGGGCGAAAGCCUGACGGAGCAACGCCGCGUGAGUGAUGAAGGUCUUCGGAUCGUAAAACUCUGUUAUUAGGGAAGAACAUAUGUGUAAGUAACUGUGCACAUCUUGACGGUACCUAAUCAGAAAGCAACGGCUAACUACGUG